Long non-coding RNA from Ailuropoda melanoleuca (giant panda), 1798 nucleotides. RefSeq lists it as uncharacterized. The record is from RefSeq and is a predicted model, not a curated record. The transcript is spliced from 3 exons. NCBI's taxonomy places the organism in Eukaryota, Metazoa, Chordata, Mammalia, Carnivora, Ursidae.
GCGGGUUCUGCUGAAGGUGCUGUUCUCAACCACUUCCUCACCUACAAUUUCGAGGAUUGCAGGCUGGUUACUGAUCUCCCCGGGGCUAAGGGCAGGCCGGCCCUUCUGGACCCUGGCACCCCCUCCCCCCCAACUAACUCAGACUUCUCUGGCUGGAGACAAGGAGGGGGCUGGGGUGCACAGUCACUGCUGAUUCAAGAAGAAAGAGCUGCUAACGACAGCAGAAGUAUCCUGAGGACUUCGUGCCAGGCCCUGGGCGCCCCAUGCUUCGGGGGAUUGUCGCAUUUCAUGGCUUGGUGAGGUGGGAACACCGAGCCCCCCUCACCGAGACGACAACCCCUGCAAACAGAAGUCAUCUCUGGAAAACAGGUGGGACAACUGAGGCCCCAGGACACAGAGCCAGCCAGAAUUCGAACAUGCUUUCUGAGUGCCCUGGGGAGGUCCAAACCCAUCCGGGGGCGCCAGGUGAAAGAAGAGAGCAAGGAGCGUGGGGCAAGGGCUCCCGGAGAAGGUGACCUGUGAGCUACGCCCUCGAAGCUGUCUGAUUUGGUCUCGCCAGGUUCUGAAGGGAAGAUCUCUAGCAGAGAAGAGCGAGCUAAGGCCUGCAGGGUGGUGUGUGCGUAGAGGUGUUUGUGUUGGAGGGGGCGGGUUGUGGGUUGCAAGGAAUUGCUGGCGUCUGUACACCCAGAGCCUCUGUCUCCCGGGGCCGUCACCUUUCCUCCACCCCCUAACCGCACACAGGAGAAAUUCGAUCCAUAUUUCCACGAUUCUGUUGAUGAUGCGUGCGUGCCUGGGUAAGAAGGCAGGGUGUCGGGGAAAAUGUUUCAGGAUGUAAACAUAGCCUGGGCAAAGAUGUGGAACUGUGGAGGAGUUUAGAGAACAGAAGGUUCCCUGUGGUUGGAAUAUGGGUUUGUGGGGGUCAGGACUGAGAGCCGAUAGCCACAUUUCCAGGGUGUUCAACGGCCUGGCCUGGGCUGGUAUGCCAAUGAGAUACUCCUGAAGCCAGUGAGGUCUGUGGGAGAGAGACCCCCAGUCCCUCUACGGAGGGAAUCGGGUCACAGGACUGCUGGGGCCAGGCUGGUGGGGAGCUACAGUAGACGUGACAGACUGGCCGCCCUCCACCCCUGUUCGGGUUAUGGCUUCUCCCCUCCCCACUCAGCCAAACCCCCCCCCCACCCCCGCCUGCUUAGGGCAAGGUGAGGAGCAGCCCGGAGGCACAGGACAAAGGGUGUCAGAUACCCAAGACAAUACCUCAAUCUGUCUCAACUCCGAGGUGGCCUCUCCUGUGGCCUGAGGCUCUAGAGAAGCCCCAGGCAGAGCAGGGCUGGGCCUCCUGCAGACAGGAGACAUCAGGUCUGUGUGUAGUCUGCACCCAGCUCUCCGUACCAGGUGUGAUGUGGGAUCAGAGCAGGGAAGUCACUGACCCAGGGUCACACAGCUUGCGAGUCACUGAGAGAGCAUCCAGAUUCCUAUCCGAGACCGUGCAUGCUCUGCCCAGCCCUCCGUGCUCUGGACCCCCGUGAUGACACUGGGACAACACUCUGCGUUUCCAAGUGAGAGAGUCAGUUUCCCUGAGACACCCAGCCCCACCCCAGGCUUCACACUUGCAACACCCUUCAAAGUCAUAGACCCUCGGGACCCUUGCUGCAUCCCCAGGAGCCAGGCCCCAUCAGUGAUCAAUUCAUCUUAAAGGCAGAGUCCUAUGGAACUGGAGGGGAUUAUGCUAAGUGAAGUAAGUCAAGCAGAGAACGACAAUUAUCAUAGGGUUUCACUCAUAUGUGGAACGUAAGCAAUAGCA